RNAcentral lists this ribosomal RNA (2902 nucleotides) under Klebsiella pneumoniae. RNAcentral describes it as "23S ribosomal RNA". It matches the Rfam family "Bacterial large subunit ribosomal RNA". The record is from RNAcentral. Lineage: Bacteria; Pseudomonadati; Pseudomonadota; Gammaproteobacteria; Enterobacterales; Enterobacteriaceae.
GGUUAAGCGACUAAGCGUACACGGUGGAUGCCCUGGCAGUCAGAGGCGAUGAAGGACGUGCUAAUCUGCGAAAAGCGUCGGUAAGGUGAUAUGAACCGUUACAGCCGGCGAUGUCCGAAUGGGGAAACCCAGUGCAAUUCGUUGCACUAUCGUUAACUGAAUACAUAGGUUAACGAGGCGAACCGGGGGAACUGAAACAUCUAAGUACCCCGAGGAAAAGAAAUCAACCGAGAUUCCCCCAGUAGCGGCGAGCGAACGGGGAGCAGCCCAGAGUCUGAAUCAGCUUGUGUGUUAGUGGAACGGUCUGGAAAGUCCGACGGUACAGGGUGAUAGUCCCGUACACCAAAAUGCACAGGCUGUGAACUCGAAGAGUAGGGCGGGACACGUGGUAUCCUGUCUGAAUAUGGGGGGACCAUCCUCCAAGGCUAAAUACUCCUGACUGACCGAUAGUGAACCAGUACCGUGAGGGAAAGGCGAAAAGAACCCCGGCGAGGGGAGUGAAAAAGAACCUGAAACCGUGUACGUACAAGCAGUGGGAGCACCUUCGGGUGUGACUGCGUACCUUUUGUAUAAUGGGUCAGCGACUUAUAUUCUGUAGCAAGGUUAACCGUAUAGGGGAGCCGCAGGGAAACCGAGUCUUAACUGGGCGUUAAGUUGCAGGGUAUAGACCCGAAACCCGGUGAUCUAGCCAUGGGCAGGUUGAAGGUUGGGUAACACUAACUGGAGGACCGAACCGACUAAUGUUGAAAAAUUAGCGGAUGACUUGUGGCUGGGGGUGAAAGGCCAAUCAAACCGGGAGAUAGCUGGUUCUCCCCGAAAGCUAUUUAGGUAGCGCCUCGUGAACUCAUCUUCGGGGGUAGAGCACUGUUUCGGCUAGGGGGUCAUCCCGACUUACCAACCCGAUGCAAACUACGAAUACCGAAGAAUGUUAUCACGGGAGACACACGGCGGGUGCUAACGUCCGUCGUGAAGAGGGAAACAACCCAGACCGCCAGCUAAGGUCCCAAAGUCAUGGUUAAGUGGGAAACGAUGUGGGAAGGCACAGACAGCCAGGAUGUUGGCUUAGAAGCAGCCAUCAUUUAAAGAAAGCGUAAUAGCUCACUGGUCGAGUCGGCCUGCGCGGAAGAUGUAACGGGGCUAAACCAUGCACCGAAGCUGCGGCAGCGACACUAUGUGUUGUUGGGUAGGGGAGCGUUCUGUAAGCCUGCGAAGGUGUGCUGUGAGGCAUGCUGGAGGUAUCAGAAGUGCGAAUGCUGACAUAAGUAACGAUAAAGCGGGUGAAAAGCCCGCUCGCCGGAAGACCAAGGGUUCCUGUCCAACGUUAAUCGGGGCAGGGUGAGUCGACCCCUAAGGCGAGGCCGAAAGGCGUAGUCGAUGGGAAACAGGUUAAUAUUCCUGUACUUGGUGUUACUGCGAAGGGGGGACGGAGAAGGCUAUGUUAGCCGGGCGACGGUUGUCCCGGUUUAAGCAUGUAGGCUGGUUGUCCAGGCAAAUCCGGAUAAUCAAGGCUGAGGUGUGAUGACGAGGUACUACGGUGCUGAAGUAACAAAUGCCCUGCUUCCAGGAAAAGCCUCUAAGCAUCAGGUAACAUUAAAUCGUACCCCAAACCGACACAGGUGGUCAGGUAGAGAAUACCAAGGCGCUUGAGAGAACUCGGGUGAAGGAACUAGGCAAAAUGGUGCCGUAACUUCGGGAGAAGGCACGCUGGUGUGUAGGUGAAGUCCCUGCGGAUGGAGCUGAGACCAGUCGAAGAUACCAGCUGGCUGCAACUGUUUAUUAAAAACACAGCACUGUGCAAACACGAAAGUGGACGUAUACGGUGUGACGCCUGCCCGGUGCCGGAAGGUUAAUUGAUGGGGUUAUCCGUAAGGAGAAGCUCUUGAUCGAAGCCCCGGUAAACGGCGGCCGUAACUAUAACGGUCCUAAGGUAGCGAAAUUCCUUGUCGGGUAAGUUCCGACCUGCACGAAUGGCGUAAUGAUGGCCAGGCUGUCUCCACCCGAGACUCAGUGAAAUUGAACUCGCUGUGAAGAUGCAGUGUACCCGCGGCAAGACGGAAAGACCCCGUGAACCUUUACUAUAGCUUGACACUGAACAUUGAGCCUUGAUGUGUAGGAUAGGUGGGAGGCUUUGAAGCGUGGACGCCAGUCUGCGUGGAGCCAACCUUGAAAUACCACCCUUUAAUGUUUGAUGUUCUAACGUUGGCCCCUUACCGGGGUUGCGGACAGUGUCUGGUGGGUAGUUUGACUGGGGCGGUCUCCUCCCAAAGCGUAACGGAGGAGCACGAAGGUUAGCUAAUCCUGGUCGGACAUCAGGAGGUUAGUGCAAUGGCAUAAGCUAGCUUGACUGCGAGCGUGACGGCGCGAGCAGGUGCGAAAGCAGGUCAUAGUGAUCCGGUGGUUCUGAAUGGAAGGGCCAUCGCUCAACGGAUAAAAGGUACUCCGGGGAUAACAGGCUGAUACCGCCCAAGAGUUCAUAUCGACGGCGGUGUUUGGCACCUCGAUGUCGGCUCAUCACAUCCUGGGGCUGAAGUAGGUCCCAAGGGUAUGGCUGUUCGCCAUUUAAAGUGGUACGCGAGCUGGGUUUAGAACGUCGUGAGACAGUUCGGUCCCUAUCUGCCGUGGGCGCUGGAGAAUUGAGGGGGGCUGCUCCUAGUACGAGAGGACCGGAGUGGACGCAUCACUGGUGUUCGGGUUGUCAUGCCAAUGGCACUGCCCGGUAGCUAAAUGCGGAAGAGAUAAGUGCUGAAAGCAUCUAAGCACGAAACUUGCCCCGAGAUGAGUUCUCCCUGAGACUUUAAGUCUCCUGAAGGAACGUUAAAGACGAUGACGUUGAUAGGCCGGGUGUGUAAGCGCAGCGAUGCGUUGAGCUAACCGGUACUAAUGAACCGUGAGGCUUAACCUU